UACGUAGGGGGCAAGCGUUGUCCGGAUUUAUUGGGCGUAAAGAGCGUGUAGGCGGUUAGGUAGGUCCGUUGUGAAAACUCGAGGCUCAACCUCGAGACGCCGAUGGAAACCAUCUGACUAGAGUCCGGAAGAGGAGAGUGGAAUUCCUGGUGUAGCGGUGAAAUGCGCAGAUAUCAGGAGGAACACCUGUGGCGAAAGCGGCUCACUGGACUGGUAUUGACGCUGAGGUGCGAAAGCGUGGGGAGCAAACAGG
This 253-nucleotide ribosomal RNA is filed under the name uncultured bacterium. Its description in RNAcentral is "partial 16S ribosomal RNA". It matches the Rfam family "Bacterial small subunit ribosomal RNA", at positions 524 to 776 of the family's 1533-position model. The record is from RNAcentral.